AGGCGAGGGCACCUCUGGGCAAGCAUGGUCUUUGGUGUGCUGCCAAGCUGACUGUCCUGAGUGUGACAAAGCAAGGGAGGGGCCCAGUGGGCCCCAGUCAAUGAGAAACAGAUCUGCCCUAAAAAUAACAGUGAAUGAACAGGCUUGCUUACACUGUCUUGCUUCAGAACUGGUUUGGCACAAAAUCAGACCUAAUGAUAGGUUCAGAAGGAAAAAUUCAUGGUUGGGAUUUGGAAUCCUCUGAGCCAACCAGUUAUCCACAAACAAGUCCACGGCUCUUCCGCUGGGUUUCCCAGAAGGUCUUCCAGGACAGGUCUCUUGUCAUCAUGGAGGACUCCACAGUCCUAUCUGGAGUCGCCUACUCCGGAGUGGAGAGAUGGAGAAGACUAAUCUUCACAAAAUCAACCAACAGCAGCAGUGAUGGCUGAUGACAGCAUGAAGAAGAAUCCUUCCUGUUGGAGCCAUUGAUCAUCUAUUCCCAUGACUAAUUGUGUGAUCCUGUUAAUGUAACAAAAUACCUGAAGCUGGGUACUUUAUAAGAAAAGAGAUGAGGUCAUCCAAAUAUCCCUGGAGCCAGCUGCCACCAGUCAGGGCUUUGGAUGCCUGCUCUGCAAUCCCUGCUGACCCACCACACUCCUUCACUUGGAAAGUCCCGACUCUGGCAAAGAGCUGCCCUUGAAGUAGGUACUUCAAAGGGGCCACAGGCUACUGGAAAGCGUUCAGAUCUCUUAUCUGAGGAGCAGUAAAUGCAGUGACACCACAAGCCUUUGGAGUUUCUGAAGACACCACAUGAAGUUAACAGGUUGAGCUAAUCAACCCAAGAGGAAGAAGGAACACAUGAACUGGAAAUAUUCAGCUGAAAUGGAUUGGUAUUUCAAAGCACAAAGCUCCUGAGAGAUGCUCUUCUGAACAGGAGGACAACAGGAGGGAAACAGUAUGUUCAUGGCAGAAUAAAACAAUCUUUCCCUGA
This 970-nucleotide long non-coding RNA is filed under the name Mus musculus (house mouse). RNAcentral's name for it is "RIKEN cDNA 1700019J19 gene (1700019J19Rik)". The record is from RNAcentral. Lineage: Eukaryota; Metazoa; Chordata; Mammalia; Rodentia; Muridae.